Molecule: signal recognition particle RNA, 267 nt
Filed under: Actinomycetota bacterium
Lineage: Bacteria; Bacillati; Actinomycetota
Description: signal recognition particle sRNA large type
Rfam family: Bacterial large signal recognition particle RNA
About the family: The signal recognition particle (SRP) is a universally conserved ribonucleoprotein involved in the co-translational targeting of proteins to membranes. Archaeal SRP consists of a 7S RNA and homologues of the eukaryotic SRP19 and SRP54 proteins.
Source: RNAcentral
CCGUGCUAGGCGGGGGGCUCGGGGUCCCCUGAACCGGAAACCCUCGAUACGCCGGGUCGAUUACCCGCUUGCGGCCCUGGAAGGACCGGGCAGCCCCCGGAAAGCAGCGUCGAUGGUCGGGUCCUGCGCGACUCGGAGCCGUGAAUCCGGUCAGGCCCGGAAGGGAGCAGCCGUAAGCGGUGUACCGGGAGUGCCGCAGGGUCACCCGGCCGGAGCCGGCUACCGGGAAGGCGACGGCCAUUUCAGGGUCCAGAGCGGGGCGCACGG